Molecule: transfer RNA, 66 nt
Filed under: Filchneria songi
Lineage: Eukaryota; Metazoa; Arthropoda; Insecta; Plecoptera; Perlodidae
Description: tRNA-Glu
Rfam family: tRNA
About the family: Transfer RNA (tRNA) molecules are approximately 80 nucleotides in length. Their secondary structure includes four short double-helical elements and three loops (D, anti-codon, and T loops). Further hydrogen bonds mediate the characteristic L-shaped molecular structure. tRNAs have two regions of fundamental functional importance: the anti-codon, which is responsible for specific mRNA codon recognition, and the 3' end, to which the tRNAs corresponding amino acid is attached (by aminoacyl-tRNA synthetases). tRNAs cope with the degeneracy of the genetic code in two manners: having more than one tRNA (with a specific anti-codon) for a particular amino acid; and 'wobble' base-pairing, i.e. permitting non-standard base-pairing at the 3rd anti-codon position.
Source: RNAcentral
AUUUAUAUAGUUUAAAUAAAACAUUACAUUUUCACUGUAAAAAUAAAGGCUUCACUUUUAUAAAUA